CCGGCUGUGGUUGGUGAUCUCGUACUGCGCCUUGACCUCAGCGAUGAUGCUGUCCAUGUCCAGGGAGCUGCUGUCGUCCAUGGACAGCACCACAGACGUGUCUGAGAUCUGGGACUGCAGCUC
This 123-nucleotide microRNA precursor is filed under the name Chlorocebus sabaeus (green monkey). RNAcentral describes it as "miRNA (ENSCSAG00000025201.1)". The record is from RNAcentral. Lineage: Eukaryota; Metazoa; Chordata; Mammalia; Primates; Cercopithecidae.